This 433-nucleotide ribosomal RNA is filed under the name uncultured bacterium. RNAcentral's name for it is "partial 16S ribosomal RNA". It matches the Rfam family "Bacterial small subunit ribosomal RNA", at positions 29 to 507 of the family's 1533-position model. The record is from RNAcentral.
AGCGAACGCUGGCGGCAUGCCUAACACAUGCAAGUCGAACGAGACCUUCGGGUCUAGUGGCGCACGGGUGCGUAACCCGUGGGAACCUGCCCUUAGGUUCGGAAUAACUCCCCGAAAGGGGUGCUAAUACCGGAUAAUGUCUUCGGACCAAAGAUUUAUCGCCUUUGGAUGGGCCCGCGUUGGAUUAGCUAGUUGGUAGGGUAAAAGCCUACCAAGGCGACGAUCCAUAGCUGGUCUGAGAGGAUGAUCAGCCACACUGGGACUGAGACACGGCCCAGACUCCUACGGGAGGCAGCAGUGGGGAAUAUUGGACAAUGGGCGAAAGCCUGAUCCAGCAAUGCCGCGUGAGUGAUGAAGGCCUUAGGGUUGUAAAGCUCUUUUACCCGGGAUGAUAAUGACAGUACCGGGAGAAUAAGCUCCGGCUAACUCCGUG